GGGUGGGUGUCUUCUUUCCUCCUCACUGCUCCAGAUUCAUCCUUCCUGAAGCUGCACCCUUGGUUGAAGAGGACACGCUUCCAAGUUAGAGGAGGAUUAUUUUUUCAUCAUGAGUAUAUCAACAGCUGCACUUUCCUGCUUUAGAAGCUCUACAUAGAUUCUCAGGGGGUUUGUGGGAAUCCAGUGAAAUGAACCGACAUGGACAGAUGGAGAUGGCAUUUAGCCACCUCUGUUCUGU
This 238-nucleotide small RNA is filed under the name Jaculus jaculus (lesser Egyptian jerboa). RNAcentral's name for it is "7SK RNA (ENSJJAG00000008416.1)". It matches the Rfam family "7SK RNA", at positions 77 to 331 of the family's 331-position model. Rfam says of the family: 7SK was discovered as an abundant small nuclear RNA in the mid-70s but a possible function has only recently been suggested. Lineage: Eukaryota; Metazoa; Chordata; Mammalia; Rodentia; Dipodidae. The record is from RNAcentral.